CCUGCUGAGGCGGGUCUACUGACAGAAGUAAGCUCCAAGGCCUCCCUCAGACAGCUAACCUGGUGACCUGGGUUCCAUGGGAUGCCCAGAUUGUCAUGGACAUGAAAAAGGCUGUGGGCAGUGCUGGGUGGAGCACCUCUCUGCCUGGGGUACUUGCUUGUGAGUAGGAUCCUGGGGAUCCAGGCUUAUUCUGAGUGUGGGACUUCCUGGGUGGAAAUAUUCUGGAAAAAGUGGAAUUUUGCUGCCUUAAAGAAUCACUAAGUCUUGGAACCCGCAGUAGUGCCCAUGAUCUCUUUGAAUUAGACAAGAAGAGUGCUUGAUUGUAGCUCUUGCAAUCCUCACUGCCUGGCAGGGCAGCUCAUUCCGGAGCAGCCUCGUUCUGGGGUAGCUGUGGUUUUCUUCAGCCCCGAGGGCAUUUGCUGAGUUUUGCUUUAUGUGACUGGAUGGGACUGGCCUUGGAGACACUAAUAAGCACGUGAGGGUUUUUGGACAAUGCGAAGAGUUGGUGCCAAGCCACAAGUGGGAGAUGUUGAACUUCCUGCGAAUCUGGUGUGUUGUAGCCUGAGUCGGUUUCAAUAUGAAAAAUAAGAGUGACAGUGCCUUCCUUGUAUGCUAAUCUGGCGAAGUGGCUCAUGCUGGCCAUGUAACAACCUGGCAGCCUCCUACAGAAGCAAGUGGGGUGUGGCAUUCCUGCUGUCUGCAUCUUCUGUUUGUCACCUCGCCCACUCUGUGGCCAUAUCCCUUGUCCUGAUGGCUUCCAUCACAGCAGCCGGGGGCAACUCAGCCUGGACUCUUCCAAGCCUUUCUCUCUGUUCCUAGCCGUGUGCGGCUAGAGAGCAUCACAAGACCCCAACCUGGUGCCACGAAGGGGUACCAGGGGUUAGAACUCAAACAUAAUCUUUUUGGAGGACGCAAUUCAACUCACAAAACACACUAAGGAUGGAGAACGGGAAGACAGAAGCCCCUGAUAGCCUUGUGCAGCCACUCCCAACCUUGGGCAGCCU
This 1004-nucleotide long non-coding RNA is filed under the name Homo sapiens (human). RNAcentral's name for it is "HSALNT0100903". Lineage: Eukaryota; Metazoa; Chordata; Mammalia; Primates; Hominidae. The record is from RNAcentral.